This 443-nucleotide ribosomal RNA is filed under the name uncultured bacterium. RNAcentral describes it as "partial 16S ribosomal RNA". It matches the Rfam family "Bacterial small subunit ribosomal RNA", at positions 28 to 507 of the family's 1533-position model. The record is from RNAcentral.
GAUGAACGCUGGCGGCAUGCCUAACACAUGCAAGUCGAUCGGUAAGGCUCUUCGGAGUACACGAGAGGCGGACGGCUGAGUAACGCGUAGGAACACACCCUGCAGUGAGGGAUAAGACACCGAAAGGUGUUCUAAUACCGCAUACGGUCUUCGGAUUAAAGCAUUUAUGCGCUGAAGGAGUGGCCUGCGUCAUAUUAGAUAGUUGGUGAGGUAAUGGCUCACCAAGUCGAUGAUGUGUAGCUGGUCUGAGAGGAUGAUCAGCCAGACUGGAACUGAGACACGGUCCAGACUCCUACGGGAGGCAGCAGUUAGGAAUAUUUCACAAUGAGCGAAAGCUUGAUGGAGCAAUGCCGCGUGCAGGAUGAAGGCCCUCGGGUUGUAAACUGCUUUUAUAAGAGAAGAUUAUGACGGUAACUUAUGAAUAAGGGACGGCUAACUACGUG